CAGUGAUGUACUGGGGUAUGUGGGCCUUUAGGAGACCAAUGCCACCUCUGAAUUCGAGAUCUUAAUUUUACAAUGAGUUCGUUGCUGGGGGAACUAGGAAGUCUUAGAAUAUAUUGUACACAAACAAGCCGUACCAGGCUCCGCAACCCCCUAGAUCGUUUAACAGGGUAACAACUCCCAGCUGGGUUAGCCCAGAUAUAGGGAAAAUUUAAUUUUGUACAAAUGAGUGACAAGGAACGUAUAGUGCGGAUUGGUCGAUGUCCUCAUGUGCUUCAAGUCCGUGUUUAGUAAAAUGCCUAGUUGCGUGAUAAGAACUGAUCCAGCCCGCUCAAUGUUGGGUGGGUCCCUUCCCUUCCUAUCCUCUGUCUAAUGUGCUGUCUACCCUCCCCGUGUGCCACUCCCCAUCCAUCCGGGCCUACACCGUUCGGUCACUCUGGGGGCUAUGGGCUAGUCCGGAGUGGGUCAUGUCAUGUCAUGUCAUGCACCCUGCCCCCCACCCAGCUGGUGCUACCACCCUGCUCCCGCUCCCAUGGGUGUACCUGCUCACACCUCCCAGGUUCCCCAUGUCCUCCCCAUGGUGAGCUACUGGCACAAGGAUACUGGAACAAGGACCCGCCACAGGAACAAGAACCACCCAGAAUCAAGGUUUGUUUGGUUCGGCAGCAGUCUCAGCCAAUUACCUGGUGGCCUGCCAUAGCCCCUGGUGGCCUCGGGGUACAUGACCCAAAGGGCCCCCCGGGGCAAGGGACCAUAGGAUUUUUAAAACUAAUUUUCCACUGGUUGCUAAUGCAUUUGUGACAACUUUUGGCUUUUGUUCCUCUUUAAAUGGCAAUGAAACUAUCAUGUCUCAAUAAAUGGUAUUGAGUCAGAAAGCCUGAUAAUUGCAAUGGAAAUGGUACAUGAUUGAUUUUUGAUUUUUGUUUAAAAAAUCAUUAAUAUUAGAUCCGAUAUUUAUCUGCUCCAGUUAGCUUUUUAUGACGAUGAUUAAAUCAAUUUGAACCGAUAAAAGGCUUAUUGGAAGCCGAUAAACAGCAAAUACGUGAUCGGUUGAUAAGUAAUCGAAGCUUAUGUAAGAGAUUUCUUUGACUUCUUUAUUUUAUUGUCUGAAUAGAAUUGAGGAUUAUUUUGUAUAUUGUGGUGUGCAGUAGGUUAUAUUGCUUAAAAAAAUUAGUACAAGAUUGCAGUACCUACAGCCGUCCACUAGAAGGUACUAUAUGCUCAAUAAACAAUUCAAUGGCAGCGUUGCCAGAAUUCCCAUUUUCUAACAGCUGGAAUAAAGGAUAUGAUUCAUCUGUGAAAUAAAUUACUUUAAUUAAAUGUCAGCUAUUCCUUACAUCAAAGAAUGUCUCCCUGAAAUAUAUGUAUGUUUGUAUGUCAACCAGGAGUUAAAGUCAAAUAUUAAGCUAAAAAUGUGGAAACUUUAUGGGUAGAUAUCUGCUUGGGGCAAAGAAUUUAAAUCAGUUAUUGGUUGGGAUAUGUUAUAAACCACCUCAUGUUGAUAUUGAUAAGAGACAACAGCUGUUUAAGCAAAUUGAAAAAGCUGCAAAUCUGGGUAACACGUUAAUUAUUGGAGAUUUUAAUUAUCCGGACAUAAAUUGGGACAGAGGGACUUGUAGUUCAGCAAAUGGAAUUAGGUUAUUAAAUCUGUUAAAUGACACCUUCCUGUCACAAACGGUAUAAGAACCAACUAGAAAGGACGCUUGUCUGGAUCUGGUUAUAACAAACAAGCACUUGGGAACUAGUGAUCAAACAUGAUGUCAUUUGAAAGAAACUCAAAAAAGCAAAUGUACAUGCGGAAUACUGAAAUAUAUCAUUUUAAAAGGGCCAAAUUCAAUAAGGUUAAGGCAGCUUUACAACAUACUGACUG
Molecule: long non-coding RNA, 1867 nt
Filed under: Pelobates cultripes (western spadefoot toad)
Lineage: Eukaryota; Metazoa; Chordata; Amphibia; Anura; Pelobatidae
Source: RNAcentral